CAUCCUGUGCAACCGCACGAAAAUCGUAUCAAGUAAUCUCUAUGGUUCACGAUUUAGGCGAGUCUUCACAAGAGG
Regulatory RNA element from Streptococcus henryi, 75 nucleotides. The record is from Rfam. NCBI's taxonomy places the organism in Bacteria, Bacillati, Bacillota, Bacilli, Lactobacillales, Streptococcaceae.